CUGUUGUGUGUGAGUGUUGUUGUUGCUUUUUGUCGACAACUCCGCGUCACGCUCGUCGUGCUUCUCAGGCCAGUGGCGCUUGAAUGGCGUGGGCUUUCAUGCGAGUACCGGUCAUGCUCUUCCGAAGAGAACAUUACACGCUGCGGCUGCGGCACGCGCACGCUUCAUCGCGAUGAUCUGAUUCUAAUCAA
This 191-nucleotide ribosomal RNA is filed under the name Sycon capricorn. RNAcentral's name for it is "partial 28S ribosomal RNA". Lineage: Eukaryota; Metazoa; Porifera; Calcarea; Leucosolenida; Sycettidae. The record is from RNAcentral.